UACGUAGGGUGCGAGCGUUGUCCGGAAUUACUGGGCGUAAAGAGCUCGUAGGCGGUUUGUCGCGUCGUCUGUGAAAUUCCUGCAACUCAAUUGUAGGCGUGCAGGCGAUACGGGCAGACUUGAGUACUACAGGGGGAGACUGGAAUUCCUGGUGUAGCGGUGAAAUGCGCAGAUAUCAGGAGGAACACCGGUGGCGAAGGCGGGUCUCUGGGCCGAUACUGACGCUGAGGAGCGAAAGCGUGGGGAGCGAACAGG
Molecule: ribosomal RNA, 255 nt
Filed under: uncultured bacterium
Lineage: Bacteria
Description: partial 16S ribosomal RNA
Rfam family: Bacterial small subunit ribosomal RNA
Source: RNAcentral